ACACCACGAGAGUUUGUAACACCCGAAGUCGGUAGGGUAACCUUUAUGGAGCCAGCCGCCGAAGGUGGGACAGAUAAUUGGGGUGAAGUCGUAACAAGGUAGCCGUAUCGGAAGGUGCGGCUGGAUCACCUCCUUUCUAAGGAA
RNAcentral lists this ribosomal RNA (144 nucleotides) under Listeria welshimeri. RNAcentral describes it as "partial 16S ribosomal RNA". It matches the Rfam family "Bacterial small subunit ribosomal RNA", at positions 1399 to 1533 of the family's 1533-position model. The record is from RNAcentral. Lineage: Bacteria; Bacillati; Bacillota; Bacilli; Caryophanales; Listeriaceae.